AGUGGGUAGCCUAACCGCGCGUUUUACGUGAGGAAGGCGCUUACCACGGUGGGGUUCAUGACUGGGGUGAAGUCGUAACAAGGUAGCCGUAGGUGAACCUGCAGAAGGAUCA
This 112-nucleotide ribosomal RNA is filed under the name uncultured eukaryote. Its description in RNAcentral is "partial small subunit ribosomal RNA". The record is from RNAcentral.